Molecule: ribosomal RNA, 387 nt
Filed under: uncultured Acetobacterium sp.
Lineage: Bacteria; Bacillati; Bacillota; Clostridia; Eubacteriales; Eubacteriaceae
Description: bacterial SSU rRNA
Rfam family: Bacterial small subunit ribosomal RNA
Source: RNAcentral
GGAAUGAACCUUCGGGGGAAUGAAAUCCUAGAAAGUGGCGAACGGGUGAGUAACGCGUGGGUAACCUGCCCUAUGGAAAGGAAUAGCCUCGGGAAACUGGGAGUAAUGCCUUAUAAUAUACGAGAGUCGCAUGGCUUUUGUAUUAAACGCUCCGGUGCCAUAGGAUGGACCCGCGUCCCAUUAGCUAGUUGGUGAGAUAACAGCCCACCAAGGCAACGAUGGGUAACCGGUCUGAGAGGGCGAACGGUCACACUGGAACUGAGACACGGUCCAGACUCCUACGGGAGGCAGCAGUGGGGAAUAUUGCGCAAUGGGGGCAACCCUGACGCAGCAAUACCGCGUGAGUGAAGAAGGUUUUCGGAUCGUAAAGCUCUGUUAUUGGGGAAG